AGAAAGGUCGUAGUUUUAAGUUUUUAUGUCUAACGUUUGAUUUUCUAUCUUAUUUAAAUUUUUUUAUGAUUACUAAUUUUAUUAUUAUUAUAUGAUAAAACAUAAAUAAUAGUUUAUGCGUGACUAUUUUUUUUAUUUUUUUAAAAUAUGACGGACGAUUAAAUAUUAGAUACGAAAAUCCAUAACUAUACUUAAA
Molecule: non-coding RNA, 196 nt
Organism: Oryza punctata
Lineage: Eukaryota; Viridiplantae; Streptophyta; Magnoliopsida; Poales; Poaceae
Source: Rfam